AACGAACGCUGGCGGCAUGCCUAACACAUGCAAGUCGAACGAGACCUUCGGGUCUAGUGGCGCACGGGUGCGUAACGCGUGGGAACCUGCCCUUAGGUUCGGAAUAACUCCCCGAAAGGGGUGCUAAUACCGGAUAAUGUUUUCGGACCAAAGAUUUAUCGCCUUUGGAUGGGCCCGCGUUGGAUUAGCUAGUUGGUAGGGUAAAAGCCUACCAAGGCGACGAUCCAUAGCUGGUCUGAGAGGAUGAUCAGCCACACUGGGACUGAGACACGGCCCAGACUCCUACGGGAGGCAGCAGUGAGGAAUAUUAGACAAUGGGCGAAAGCCUGAUCCAGCAAUGCCGCGUGGGUGAUGGAGGCCUUAGGGUUGUAAAGCUCUUUUACCCGGGAUGAUAAUGACAGUACCGGGGGAAUAAGCUCCGGCUAACUCCGUG
Molecule: ribosomal RNA, 433 nt
Filed under: uncultured bacterium
Lineage: Bacteria
Description: partial 16S ribosomal RNA
Rfam family: Bacterial small subunit ribosomal RNA
Source: RNAcentral